AACUGUUUUAUGAAAUAAAUGUACAACCUUGCCAAAUUUGUUUGAGAGUUGAUUCACAAAACAAUUAAAUAAAAGUGGAGAUAUUGCAGUCCGAAAACUUUGGACUUGUGCGUCAAUAUCGCCGUAGGUCACGAUGCCCGACAAAGUGGCUUAUCGUAAAUCCCGCCCUUCUUCUUGAUGCCGACCCGAUACAACACUUGUCGCUUCCGUAUCCGCUGCCAGUUCUGAAUCGCCCCCACAGAUCGAUGCCACCACUUAGAGCGAUAAUGGCAAGAUACACGUAGUUAUGCCAGAUUUCGAGAGCUGUGUGCCACAAUAAUUAACACAAAUUACCACUACUACCCCCUUUAUUAAAUGGGCGAGUAGAAAUAUUUGGAAAAAAUAAAAGGUUAUUAAAC
Tribolium castaneum (red flour beetle) is the source of this 398-nucleotide long non-coding RNA. RefSeq lists it as uncharacterized. NCBI's taxonomy places the organism in Eukaryota, Metazoa, Arthropoda, Insecta, Coleoptera, Tenebrionidae. The transcript has 2 exons. The record is from RefSeq and is a predicted model, not a curated record.